GGCUGGACCGAGUGCAGUGGUGUUUACAACUAAUUGAUCACAACCAGUUACAGAUUUCUUUGUUCCUUCUCCACUCCCACUGCUUCACUUGACUAGCCUUAA
Molecule: unclassified non-coding RNA, 102 nt
Organism: Cavia porcellus (domestic guinea pig)
Lineage: Eukaryota; Metazoa; Chordata; Mammalia; Rodentia; Caviidae
Rfam family: Y RNA
About the family: Y RNAs are components of the Ro ribonucleoprotein particle (Ro RNP), in association with Ro60 and La proteins. The Y RNAs and Ro60 and La proteins are well conserved, but the function of the Ro RNP is not known.
Source: Ensembl